CCUACGGGUGACAGCAGUGAGGAAUAUUGGUCAAUGGGCGCAAGCCUGAACCAGCCAAGCCGCGUGAAGGAAGAAGGUCCUAAGGAUUGUAAACCUCUUUUGUCGGGGAGCAAAAUGAGCCACGCGUGCCUUUCCGAGUGUACCUGAAGAAAAAGCAUCGGCUAACUCCGUGCCACCCGCCGCGGUAAUACGGAGGAUGCGAGCGUUAUCCGGAUUUAUUGGGUUAAAGGGGAGCGGGGGCGGUUGAUAAAGUCAGCGUGAAAAUUGAGGGGUGAAACCUCGUCGAGCCUUUGAAACUGGUUGUCUUGAGUGACUGAGAGGUAUGCGGAAUGCGUGGUGUAGCGGUGAAAUGCAUAGAUAGCACGAAGAACUCCGAUUGCGAAGGCAGCAUACCGGCGGUCAACUGACGCUCAUGCACGAAAGUGUGGGGAUCGAACAGGAUUAGAUACCCCUGUAGUC
This 459-nucleotide ribosomal RNA is filed under the name uncultured bacterium. RNAcentral describes it as "partial 16S ribosomal RNA". It matches the Rfam family "Bacterial small subunit ribosomal RNA", at positions 338 to 795 of the family's 1533-position model. The record is from RNAcentral.